CCUCGAACUGGAUAGGUGCCGGAUUAGUUGUUCGGGUACUUUUUCUGCAGAGAGAAGCCGACGAUGAUGGGGGAAAUCACCUGAGAAGUGAGAGACUUUAAGGUCGCUCAUCCAUUUAUCUUCCAAGUCAUAUUAAUGGACCUACACAAAUCAGUAAGAAAAGAUAAUCCAGUUGAAAAGUGGUCCGAAGUGUUCAAUCUCAUUAAUCAAGGAAA
Long non-coding RNA from Myotis davidii, 215 nucleotides. RefSeq lists it as uncharacterized. The record is from RefSeq and is a predicted model, not a curated record. NCBI's taxonomy places the organism in Eukaryota, Metazoa, Chordata, Mammalia, Chiroptera, Vespertilionidae. The transcript is spliced from 2 exons.